RNAcentral lists this long non-coding RNA (847 nucleotides) under Danio rerio (zebrafish). Its description in RNAcentral is "lncRNA si:ch73-234i15.2 (ENSDARG00000101845.2)". The record is from RNAcentral. Lineage: Eukaryota; Metazoa; Chordata; Actinopteri; Cypriniformes; Danionidae.
GGUCCUCUUAUGAAACGACUGAAUCAGCUGGGUAUCGAUUGUGCAAAAUUGUUGCUGUCUGUGUUGUUACAAUUGUAAUAUUUAAUACUAUUGUGAUAUUCAAGAUUUGUACAUUCAUACAGCUCUGGAUAACUUAAAACAGCGAUUAGACCUUCAGAGCGGCAUUAAUGCGUCCUGAAGUAAAGCGAAACGGCUAUAAACUCCAGCAAGAUAGAGUGAUUAUAUGCAGAGCCAUAUACCUUUAUCUCUAAAUAAAGUAUAACUAUAGAAACUGUGUUCAUCUUAACUGAAAGCUUCGUUGUGUUUCCUGACCUCAAGCAUCGCGCACCUGUCAGUCAGCACUUCCAAAGUUUCAAACAGAAAGCGCACAGCACGGUUACAGAAAAGUUUGGCCUUCGGGGCAUCUGGUGAACGCCCAUCCCUCUCUGCGCAGCCACAUUAACAGUGUGAGCAAAGCAUGGUACACUCGGUGAAAAUCUGGCCGAUUUGACAGCAUUGGCAAUGUUUCUGCCGUUGUCUGUUGUCUAGAGGGGUUACGUUGGUUUUGCUUUUGAUAUUCCUGACACAUUCAGACGGUUCCUUACUAAGAGCUCCGGCGAGCUCUCCCGGCUAAACGCAUAUUGCGAAGGCUUAAACAGAGCAGUGCUCGUAAUGUCGAGCGAAAAAAAGUGUUUCUUCACGUUCUUCUUCAAUAAGCUCAACUUUUGCAGGCACGCGUGACGUUAUUGGAAAGGUAGUCACGGGGUGUGUCGCGAUUCUCCCUUAUCACACCGUGACACAGGAUCGUAGAUCGGAGUUUCGCGAUUUCGAUUUCAUAUCGUGUAUCGUUACAGCCAUAAAUUAAAUG